This 396-nucleotide ribosomal RNA is filed under the name Salmonella enterica subsp. enterica serovar Typhimurium. RNAcentral describes it as "bacterial LSU rRNA". It matches the Rfam family "Bacterial large subunit ribosomal RNA", at positions 1271 to 1667 of the family's 2925-position model. Lineage: Bacteria; Pseudomonadati; Pseudomonadota; Gammaproteobacteria; Enterobacterales; Enterobacteriaceae. The record is from RNAcentral.
UGCUGGAGGUAUCAGAAGUGCGAAUGCUGACAUAAGUAACGAUAAAGCGGGUGAAAAGCCCGCUCGCCGGAAGACCAAGGGUUCCUGUCCAACGUUAAUCGGGGCAGGGUGAGUCGACCCCUAAGGCGAGGCCGAAAGGCGUAGUCGAUGGGAAACGGGUUAAUAUUCCCGUACUUGGUGUUACUGCGAAGGGGGGACGGAGAAGGCUAUGUUGGCCGGGCGACGGUUGUCCCGGUUUAAGCGUGUAGGUGUGUGUUCCAGGUAAAUCCGGUUCACUUUAACACUGAGGCGUGACGACGAGGCACUACGGUGCUGAAGCAACAAAUGCCCUGCUUCCAGGAAAAGCCUCUAAGCAUCAGGUAACAUCAAAUCGUACCCCAAACCGACACAGGUGGU